Molecule: ribosomal RNA, 253 nt
Filed under: uncultured bacterium
Lineage: Bacteria
Description: partial 16S ribosomal RNA
Rfam family: Bacterial small subunit ribosomal RNA
Source: RNAcentral
UACGUAGGGUGCAAGCGUUAAUCGGAAUUACUGGGCGUAAAGCGUGCGCAGGCGGUUUUGUAAGACUGUCGUGAAAUCCCCGGGCUUAACCUGGGAAUGGCGAUGGUGACUGCAAGGCUAGAGUUUGGCAGAGGGGGGUAGAAUUCCACGUGUAGCAGUGAAAUGCGUAGAGAUGUGGAGGAACACCGAUAGCGAAGGCAGCCCCCUGGGUCAAAACUGACGCUCAUGCACGAAAGCGUGGGGAGCAAACAGG